CCUACGGGAGGCAGCAGUGGGGAAUAUUGCACAAUGGGGGAAACCCUGAUGCAGCGACGCCGCGUGAGUGAAGAAGUAAUUCGUUAUGUAAAGCUCUAUCAGCAGGGAAGAAAAUGACGGUACCUGAGUAAGAAGCCCCGGCUAACUACGUGCCAGCAGCCGCGGGAAUACGUAGGGGGCAAGCGUUAUACGGAUUUACUGGGUGUAAAGGGAGCGUAGACGGCAGUGCAAGUCUGGAGUGAAAGGCGGGGGCUCAACCCCCGGACUGCUCUGGAAACUGUACGGCUGGAGUGCAGGAGAGGGAAGUGGAAUUCCUGGUGUAGCGGUGAAAUGCGUAGAGAUUAGGAGGAACACCAGUGGCGAAGGCGGCUUACUGGACGGUAACUGACGUUGAGGUGCGAAAGCGUGGGGAGCAAACAGGAUUAGAUACCCCGGUAGUC
RNAcentral lists this ribosomal RNA (440 nucleotides) under uncultured bacterium. RNAcentral describes it as "partial 16S ribosomal RNA". It matches the Rfam family "Bacterial small subunit ribosomal RNA", at positions 338 to 795 of the family's 1533-position model. The record is from RNAcentral.